Molecule: ribosomal RNA, 457 nt
Filed under: uncultured Ignavibacteria bacterium
Lineage: Bacteria; Pseudomonadati; Ignavibacteriota; Ignavibacteria
Description: partial 16S ribosomal RNA
Rfam family: Bacterial small subunit ribosomal RNA
Source: RNAcentral
CCUACGGGAGGCAGCAGUGAGGAAUAUUGGGCAAUGCCCGAAAGGGUGACCCAGCAACGCCGCGUGGAGGAUGAAGUCCUUCUGGACGUAAACUCCUUUUAGAGGGGACGAAAAGCCCGAUUUGUCGGGAAUUGACGGUACCCUCAGAAAAAGCACCGGCUAACUACGUGCCAGCAGCCGCGGUAAUACGUAGGGUGCAAGCGUUGUCCGGAUUCACUGGGUGUAAAGGGUGCGCAGGCGGGCUCUUAAGUCAAAGGUGAAAUCUCUCGGCUUAACCGAGAAAUUGCCUUUGAUACUGAGAGCCUUGAGUACGGGAGAGGGAGAUGGAAUUCCAGGUGUAGCGGUGAAAUGCGUAGAUAUCUGGAGGAACACCCGUGGCGUAGGCGGCGUCCGGGCCGACACCUGACGCUGAAGCGCGAAAGCGUGGGGAGCGAACGGGAUUAGAUACCCCUGUAGU